This 1498-nucleotide long non-coding RNA is filed under the name Triticum aestivum (bread wheat). RNAcentral's name for it is "long non-coding RNA (TAES_LNC026286)". Lineage: Eukaryota; Viridiplantae; Streptophyta; Magnoliopsida; Poales; Poaceae. The record is from RNAcentral.
AACAAACUUCCCAGAUUGAAGGAGCUCAAGUUCAACUUCAACGGUGUCGGUGACCAAGUCCCUGUUGAGGUGAGGGAGGCCAUUAAAAACCAUAAAAACAAGCCUAGUCUUAAACUUAAUGGGCCAGAAACUCAAGACAAAGCAAAAGGAGAUGAACAAGAGGAUGACGAUGGUGCUGCAAAAUCCUCUUUCUGCUGGAAGAAACAGGUCUGACGCUGGAAGGGCCUCUCCGUUGAUCCCAUGGUGUGGUUUGCGUGUGCUAGUGUGGAUUGCACUCUGUUCUGCUUGUCUGUUGAUUUCAUUCUGCUGUGUGUUUAUGUUCUGCGUGCAUUACAACUGAAGUAUGUCCGUUUACUUGCUCUACAUGAGUGCCCUAGUGGCUUCGAUUGAGCAUAAAUGGUUGUAUCUAUGCUUGGAUUUGAAUUCGUGUGUCUUUCCUCUGUAUCGAACAACAUAUGCAUUCGUGUACGGUUUCAUGUAAUAAAGUGUGAUGUUUGUGCGCACAUUUGACUUCCUAUUAAUAUUCAGUGUGAUAUCAGUAUGCUUUGGUUGGGUUUCUGCAACUCAAAGAUGAACUGGUGUGGUGUGUGUCAUGAUAUAGUUACCUGUAAUGUAGGCAUCCGUUUCUUCAAACCAGCUGAGUAGUUCUUGCAGUAAUGCCUGAUGAUGUACUUGAAGCAGAACUUUGUGCAGAUUAAGCAUGUGUAUGAUCCACAAUCUGUCUGCAGCUCCUGAUUGCCAGGCAAGCACUAGCGCCACAGGAAGAAUGGAAUCUGUUUUCAGCUGUAUGUUGGCGUGCAUUUAGUAGGUCGCGUAGUUUCUCCCAUUGUUUGCUGGUGAAGAUGCCAAUACAGCUCCAUAUUUACCAAUCCACUUGAAAUGUUCAGACACAUGCAGCAAUCUCGGUUCUUCGGUUCCUCAUGUCAGAAACCAAAUCGAAGCAUGAGACCUGCAGAGACAGAAGCAAAGAUAUUAGGCAUAUAAACUCAGUCAGACAGGGUACCUCGUCACCGAAUUGUCACUCCACGGAUCAAAACCUGACGGUGGAACUAAACAGUGAGAAGUGCUCCAUUAGGCUGUGACGUAUCUAUUGUAGUCAUCUAUCCACUGCAAUUCAUUCAGAAAAAAACCUGUAUAACGAUGUAAGUAUAUGGGUGGAGAGGAGCACUAGCACCUACCAAUCCACUUGCAAUGUUCAGACACUUGCAUAACAAUCCUCACUUCCUAAUGUAAGAAAUUAAAUCGAAGCAUAAGACUUGCAGAGACAGAAGCUCGCCUAUUAGGCAUCGAGGAGGAAAAUCAUCAAGAAAAUGUAGUCUCUGCUGCUCUAAUUCCUCUUUCAAAUAAGCAGAUCGGAAGGAGUUGGAGGAGGUGCAACGCCCCCGCCUUACCUCGAAUCCGUGAACAACGACGAGCCGCAAAACACGACAGUGACGACGGCCUUGUCCUUCCACUUUGUUGGUACUGGCCGAUCUUUUUCGGUUUCGAUCGAGGCCGC